This is a non-coding RNA of Pelobates cultripes (western spadefoot toad), 276 nucleotides long. The record is from the annotation of a GenBank genome assembly. NCBI's taxonomy places the organism in Eukaryota, Metazoa, Chordata, Amphibia, Anura, Pelobatidae.
GUUAGAGGGAGUGGGGUAUAGUGACACAGUAACAGAGGGAUUGAGGGCUCUGCUCAGUGAGUUUACAUGUUAGAGGGAGUGGGGUAUAGUGACAGUAACAGAGGGAUUGGGGGCCCUGCUCAGUGAGUUUACAUGCUAGAGGGAGUGGGGUAUAGUGACACAGUAACAGAGGGAUUGAGGGCCUGCUCAGUGAGCUUACAUGUUAGAGGGAGUGGGGUAUAGUGACAGUAACAGAGGGAUUGAGGGCCCUGCUCAGUGAGUUUACAUGCUAGGGGG